GUAUGGGAAUUAUGGGAAUUACAAUUCAAGAUGACAUUUGGGUGUGGACACAGCCAAACUAUAUCAGGAGCCAAGCAAGAAUAUUAUUUUUAAUGAAGAUGCUGAGGAGGCUUCACUGAUAAGUAACAACGCAAAUAAAAUGAGGGAGAAAGACAUGAAGAUAUCUCAGAAAAGAGUAUUCUAGACAGUUGAAAUAGCAACUUCAAAGACUAUGCCAAAGGAACAGCAAGGAGAAUGCUAGCAGAUGAGGACCCAGAGAGUUAGAUCAUGUAGGUAGCAUUUAGCAGGAUUUGGCACAUAAUAGUGCUAAAUCAAUGGUAACUAUUGUGAAACCAGAAAAUCUGAGACAGAUCUCGGUUAAUUUAGAAAGUUUAUUUUGCCAAGGUUGAGGAUGCACUGGGACACAGCCUCAGGA
Molecule: long non-coding RNA, 415 nt
Filed under: Pan troglodytes (chimpanzee)
Lineage: Eukaryota; Metazoa; Chordata; Mammalia; Primates; Hominidae
Description: long non-coding RNA NONPTRT001226
Source: RNAcentral